GCGGGACUGCCCGGCACGAGCCACAUCAAAAUCCCCGGGGCUAUAAGCAAUCCAAGGGAGCUGUCCCUGCCUUGGCGACCGGGUUCGUCCCGGGGACCGAGGUACAUGGCUCCCACCUGACGUUGAGGCGUCGGAGGAUUUCGGGGCAAACGACCCAUGGUGGUUCCGCC
This is a non-coding RNA of 170 nucleotides. It matches the Rfam family "6S / SsrS RNA". From Rfam's summary of the family: E. coli 6S RNA was the first non coding RNA to be sequenced, but its function was unknown until recently. It consists of 184 nucleotides that fold into an extended hairpin structure with a large single-stranded internal bulge. The record is from Rfam.